RNAcentral lists this ribosomal RNA (247 nucleotides) under uncultured bacterium. RNAcentral describes it as "partial 16S ribosomal RNA". It matches the Rfam family "Bacterial small subunit ribosomal RNA", at positions 15 to 257 of the family's 1533-position model. The record is from RNAcentral.
GAUCCUGGCUCAGGGCGAACGCUGGCGGCGCGCCUAACACAUGCAAGUCGAACGAGAGAGAAGGAGCUUGCUUCUUCGAUCGAGUGGCGAACGGGUGAGUAACGCGUGAGGAACCUGCCUCAAAGAGGGGGACAACAGUUGGAAACGACUGCUAAUACCGCAUAAGCCCACGGGUCGGCAUCGACCUGAGGGAAAAGGAGUAAUCCGCUUUGAGAUGGCCUCGCGUCCGAUUAGCUAGUUGGCGGGG